Molecule: ribosomal RNA, 309 nt
Filed under: Escherichia coli
Lineage: Bacteria; Pseudomonadati; Pseudomonadota; Gammaproteobacteria; Enterobacterales; Enterobacteriaceae
Description: bacterial SSU rRNA
Rfam family: Bacterial small subunit ribosomal RNA
Source: RNAcentral
GCGGUCCGGCCGGGAACUCAAAGGAGACUGCCAGUGAUAAACUGGAGGAAGGUGGGGAUGACGUCAAGUCAUCAUGGCCCUUACGACCAGGGCUACACACGUGCUACAAUGGCGCAUACAAAGAGAAGCGACCUCGCGAGAGCAAGCGGACCUCAUAAAGUGCGUCGUAGUCCGGAUUGGAGUCUGCAACUCGACUCCAUGAAGUCGGAAUCGCUAGUAAUCGUGGAUCAGAAUGCCACGGUGAAUACGUUCCCGGGCCUUGUACACACCGCCCGUCACACCAUGGGAGUGGGUUGCAAAAGAAGUAGG